CUCGUCAACCGUGAGGUUGGCACCGGGACCAGAGUGUAGAAUAUCAGCUUUUCAUCCAAACAACUGGAGCGGAACAUGGGCCUUAUUAUUAUUUUUUUUUAUUAUGCCAGACACAAUCUGUCUUUGAAAAGUGCUGUAUGUUUUUUUUGUAAUUUUCUUUUUUUUAAUUAUUGCUGCAUUGUCCUCCCUCCCUUUUAUUCACCCCCAACCCCUCCAUCCUCAGCAGAUGUUGAGACGACCGUAAAAGACUGCAGAUUAUUGGCCCUUUUGUGAGAAGCCACCGUUGACAGAUAAAAAAUGUUGAAGUCUAAUCUCUGUGGGGCACAUGGUGUUUUAUUGUAACAGAAACAAAUAAUGCUGACACACACACACACACACACACACACAAACACAAACUGAAACCUACUAGUCAUACUAACAGAUCAGUUGAUAAUAUCUUAGAGAAAUGUUACAGGCCUAACAUCUAGGCUGCGGUUGAGAGAGUUCCGUUCUGACAACUGGACAUGACAUUUUCUCAAGAAGACGUUUCGCCUCUCGUUCAAGAGGCUUCUUCACUUCUAGGUUGCAUUCAAGUCACUGGAACUUGAUUUUUGAGCCUCAGGACAUUUUUUUAAACAUCAACAUCAACAGCUAAACCUCAUGAAAAUCACACCAGCAACCUUAUUCUGUGUACAAAGCCUAACUCCAGUGUACCAGGUAAAUGGACGUGAUUCAAAUAGAACUCUCUGGACUCUUUAACCCAUGAGUCAGAGACAACACCGACACUGAUCUAAGCAGUGGUUUCAUGUGGUUUCACUCAGACGUUUAUCCCGUUUGUUCUACUUCAGGAUGUCGUCGUCGUCGUAGUGAAGUGAACUCCCGUUGUAGUUACUGUAGAAUAGUGUCGGUGCAGGACAGCAGCAGUGUUGCUUUAGCCGUGCUCCGCACACCGCAGUGUUUACAACAAGGCAGGAAUUCCAUCCGUACGACGAAAGUCACUGUUUUCACUGCUAACACUGUAUUGGGUUAAACCGAGCUGCGUGUCUACACGUCGUCACCACAGCGCUCUUAGUUCUGCCUGCGUCCAAUUUUGGCAAAAGACAAGUUUACCAAAAAAUUUGAACGACUUCCAGGAAUCCUGGGUAAUUAGGGAGGAGGUGGUUCGCCAAGGAAAACCAGCAGGACGGGAAAUUUAGGUGUCAGCAGAAAACCUUCGCAGUUGUAGACGAUCUGCACGGGCAGCAUCAAAGUCGUGAAGCAGCAGCAGCAGAAGCAGCAGAGCAGCGAGGAAAAAGAAGGGGAAGAAGAAGAAGUUUGGAGCUGGUCCUUUACUGUCCUCUUCUCUCUGUUGGUUCCUUCUCCCUCCACCCAUCUGUGUGUUUACCUUUGUUGUCAUUUGUUGAACCUACGUAGAGUCCAGUACCUGAGUCCUUCAGUCCAGUACCCGAGUCCUUCAGUCCAGUACCUGAGUCCUUCAGUCCAGUACCUGAGUCCUUCAGUCCAGUACCUGAGUCCUUCAGUCCAGUCCGUGGUCUACAGCCUUCAACACCAGAGGAGACAUUUUUCUACAUUUACCAUCAAAUCAAAUUUACUCAGAGCAGCAAAAACACAAUUUGAACUAUUUGGAUGAUGGUGGUAAUGUAGUGGUCUGGGGACCGGUGCCGGUCCAUAGGUCUUUAGAUACCAGGCCUUGUGAUGUAAGUUGAGUACGAAUGCGAGUGUGAACAUUUGUUUAUUUGGUUUUUAUUGUAUUUGUAAAUAUUUUUUUCAGGGAAAUUCCUACAGAUGAAAGACAAAAAAAAAAUCCCCUGCUGUGUCAGCAUUCCAGUUGGAAAGAAUAAAAGCCACAGGAUGGUGUGUUUGGACCAGUGGCACUAUGGAAACGCACUCAGGUCUCAGUCACCACGGUGGUCUCCUCUGGUACCGCUGGUACCGCCCGAUCUGGACGUCUGGAUCUGUGGGUGAGUGAGCCGGGCGCUCAGAGCUCCAGAGAAGCAGCAGCUGCUUGACUGGAAGCAGACUCGGAGAUCCAAACACGUCCCAGCUGGAGGACUGGAGUGUUGUUGAACACUUUUCUUUGUUUUCCCCAAAAUCACCUUUAAACCCUCUCUCGUUCUUGUAUCCAGACUGAAGGCUCAGCGCUCACAGCCUCCUGCUCCGCGUUGAACGGCUUCAUAAUGAAACGGCGCUCUACGGUGUAUUAAGUGGAAGUGAUGCACACUCCAAGCUUUUAGAUUGUUUACAGAACCUCUGCACUGCCCCUGGUCCACAGCCAGCAGAUACAUUAGAGGAGAUAUGGAGGUUUGUUAUCAAGGUCACAGAAAGGUUUCAGAUUCUGAAAUAACCGAGGAACUUUUCUUUGUGUUCUCCUCGUCGGUGUUGUUUUUUUCCCCAUGACUUCCACUCUGUUGUCUCCUUCACAAACAGACAUUUACUAAAUCACAGCCAACAGCAACAGCACGCUGCAGAUGUUUGGGCCCUCUGGAGGAAGGCUGCAGUCCUAACCCGGGGCAGAUGAGUGAGUCUUCAUGAAUUGCCCCGGGGUUUAUUGACACUGAAGAGUUCGUUAGCCUGUGCACUUCAGCACCAGCGGCAUCACUGCCAGCUCUGACCUGCACUGGUGCCACCGGGAUGUUUGUUCAUGUCUGGAUCUGUCUGGACCGAAGGUGGGGGGAGGAGAGAGAGAGAGAGAGAGAGGAUCAGCAGACAGCAGCCUGGUUUUAGACAAAACACAACAGUAGGGGGGGACGGAGGGGAGGGUGAUUGAGAUUUGGCCUAAAGUACGUUUACAACCAUCCACGAGUCGAAGGUUUAAAUUACUGUUCCUAUGUGUUGACAGUAGUUCACCUAUGAACUUCCUGUGAGUAAAUUAUUUACUCAUUUCUGCUUCGUCUUAUCAUUUAUAACAGGAUUAAAGAGAAAAAUCAAAAAGGUCCAGGAAUGUUUUUAUUCGUACUCGACUAGAUUGAUUUUUUUUACUUUUCCAAAACCCAAAGAACAGAAAAAUACUGUAUGCAGAUGUGUUUAGAUUCAAAUAAUAAUUAAUGAAAAAUAGCUGUUCAUAAAUAUUUGUUUUCCAUUUUUAUUUUUUUGAAUAGCUACGACUUACCCUCAGAACAACAGCACGUAAGUUCGAGUCCAAAAAAAAGUCGGGCAGGUUGGCGUACGCGUUUGUAAAGAAGUUAGAAUUAUACACUUACUGAAUUGACUUCAUGCGUUUGAGUCUUCAAACCGGACAGUUCAUGUUGCAUUGCAUGUGUAAUUUUAUUUUGAGCGUGUAUCUGGUUAAAAAGCAGCCUAUUUAUUGGGUUUAGUGAAGUAGCCAGUGUAGCUAGCCAUGUUUGUAUGAGUGAAACAACUCAAACUUCUUGCCCAAUGUCGGACCAACUCCAUUUGUUUUGUUUUUUGUUGUUGUUGUUUUGUUUUUUGCACGCUUCUCAGCAUCAAACAGCAAAUUUGUUUUGCAGUGUUUGAUGAAAUUACAAGUUUACAUUUUUGGCUUUUACAUCGUUUUUUUUUCUCUGUAAACCAGACCGGACUAAGUAUCCUGCUUCAAUAUGUGUCCAAGAUUUAUGGUCUUCUCCGAGCUAUAAAAAAAUAGCAGCCAGCUGCAGAACUUUCCAGAUGUUGUUUCUUAUUGCUCUGCGAUAAAACAACCGGUUUGGAGCAGAGCGUCGGCGUGCGGGGGGGUCGCAGUGAGGGGAGGGUCACGCGGGACAUUACUGCGUCACUGCUGCAACAGAGAAGACAACAUGUAGCCUCCACUCGACUGGCACCAUUUUUUUAAUAGAUUAGGUAUCUGGAUCUGAGUUCCAGCCAGCCGGGGCGCGUGUAUUGACGUGCGCAUGCGUCCUUGCGCUGAGAGAAAACGGGAACGCGCUGUAACGGGCAGAAAGUGCAGCAGAGAACAGCUACAUCUGACCAAAGGACUCCAUGCCAGUCUCGAGAGCUCACGGCGAGUCUGAGGUUCGGGUGAUCCACGCUGUGGGACGUUUCAUGUUCCGGUCACAUCACUGCCUUUUCAUAACCGACCUAACGGACGGCUUUGGUGAUUUUCCCACGCAGUGAUCGUCACCGUGAAGGCAUCGUGAACUUGGUUUUUGGACCGUUAUCAGACAGAACAGAGGACCGACUUCUGCUCCGUUCAUCUGCUGGUAGAGAACUGUUCCACCAGAAAGACUCCGUACACAGACUCUGAAAUGAAAGAGGGAAAAGGAUAAUCCCCGGCCCGGCGUGGACAUUGGUGGAUUGAAGAGCAGGUGAAGAUGUCCCAGAAGGCAACAGGAAAAAUAUGGUGCAUCAGGCUGGGUCUCAUCGUCUUCACCUAUGUCACCUGCUACUGUUCCUACAGCGUAUUUCAGAGGUACACACACACACACACACACUUCACUCAUUUUUUGUUUUUGUCUCUUUAUCCUUUUUUCUAACUUUUUGUUUUGUGUAACUUCCUUCUUUCUUUCAUUAUGUAAUUCAUACUUUUUUAAAGAUUUUCUUCUCUUUCAAUGUUAAUUUCUGUCUUUCUCUUUUCAUUCUGUCACCUUCAGUUUACUUUCAAACUUUUCCUUGUUUCUUCCUUUUUUUUUCUUCUUCCCUUCCGUCAUCGUUCUCUCUCCCUUCGUCUCUUUGCCCACGUUGACCCUCC
Molecule: long non-coding RNA, 4621 nt
Organism: Cynoglossus semilaevis (tongue sole)
Lineage: Eukaryota; Metazoa; Chordata; Actinopteri; Pleuronectiformes; Cynoglossidae
Exons: 5
Source: RefSeq, a predicted model, not a curated record